RNAcentral lists this ribosomal RNA (446 nucleotides) under uncultured bacterium. Its description in RNAcentral is "SSU rRNA". It matches the Rfam family "Bacterial small subunit ribosomal RNA", at positions 26 to 518 of the family's 1533-position model. The record is from RNAcentral.
AGAGCGAACGCUGGCGGCAGGCCUAACACAUGCAAGUCGAGCGCCCGUAGCAAUACGGGAGCGGCAGACGGGAUAGUAACACGUGUGAACGCGCCCUUCGGUUCGGAAUAACUCAGGGAAACUUGAGCUAAUACCGGAUACGCCCUUACGGGGAAAGAUUUAUUGCCGAAGGAACGGCCCGCGUCCGAUUAGCUAGUUGGUGAGGUAAUGGCUCACCAAGGCGACGAUCGGUAGCUGGUCUGAGAGGAUGACCAGCAUCACUGGGACUGAGACACGGCCCAGACUCCUACGGGAGGCAGCAGUGGGGAAUAUUGGACAAUGGGCGCAAGCCUGAUCCAGCCAUGCCGCGUGGAUGAUGAAAGCCUUAGGGUUGUAAAGUCCUUUUAACGGGGAAGAUAAUGACGGUACCGUAGAAUAAGCCCGGCUAACUUCGUGCCAGCAGCCGC